RNAcentral lists this ribosomal RNA (253 nucleotides) under uncultured bacterium. RNAcentral's name for it is "partial 16S ribosomal RNA". It matches the Rfam family "Bacterial small subunit ribosomal RNA", at positions 524 to 776 of the family's 1533-position model. The record is from RNAcentral.
GACGUAGGGGGCCAGCGUUGUUCGGAAUUACUGGGUGUAAAGGGUUCGUAGGCGGUGUAGCAAGUCGGGAGUGAAAUCUCUGGGCUUAACCCAGAGGCUGCUUCCGAAACUGCUGUGCUUGAGUGUGGGAGAGGCGCGUGGAAUUGCAGGUGUAGCGGUGAAAUGCGUAGAUAUCGAGAGGAACACCUGCGGCGAAGGCGGGUAGCUGGGCCGACACUGACGCUGAGGCGCGAAAGCCAGGGGAGCGAACGGG